AGCAGCCGCGGUAAUUCCAGCUCCAAUAGCGUAUAUUAAAGUUGCUGCAGUUAAAAAGCUCGUAGUUGAAUUUCGGGAUCAAUAUGUUGGUCGUGCCUCGGUACGUACUAGCUUAUUGGUUUCUUCCUUCUGACGAACCAUAAUGUCAUUUAUUUGGUGUUAUGGGGAAUCAGGACUGUUACUUUGAAAAAUUAGAGUGUUUAAAGCAGGCUCACGCUUGAAUACAUUAGCAUGGAAUAAUGAAAUAGGACGUUUGAUUCUAUUUUGUUGGUUUCUAGGAUCGACGUAAUGAUUAAUAGGGAUAGUUGGGGGCAUUAGUAUUCAAUUGUCAGAGGUGAAAUUCUUGGAUUUAUUGAAGACUAACUACUGCGAAAGCAUUUGCCAAGGAUGUUUUCAUUAAUCAAGAACGAAAGUUAGGGGAUCGAAGACGAUCAGAUACCGUCGUAGUCUUAACCAUAAACUAUGCCGACUAGGGAUCGGAUGAUGUUAAUUUUUAA
This 497-nucleotide ribosomal RNA is filed under the name uncultured Glomus. RNAcentral describes it as "SSU rRNA". It matches the Rfam family "Eukaryotic small subunit ribosomal RNA", at positions 569 to 1073 of the family's 1831-position model. Lineage: Eukaryota; Fungi; Glomeromycota; Glomeromycetes; Glomerales; Glomeraceae. The record is from RNAcentral.